UGGAAUUACACCUGAUUACAUACAUGAGUGUGUGUGUCAGUGUGUCAGUGUGUGUGUCAGUGUGUGUGUCAGUGUGUGUCUUCCCCCAGGGCAGGGUAAUUUGAAUGCGUUAAUCAGAGCCCAACAUGAUUGAUUGGGCGUGUGUGUAAAGGCAGCAGGGAUGUCCUUCAGAAAGACAGUGUAACAGUAAGUCUGAGCACACACACACACACACACACACACACACACAGAGUCAUGUAGGCGUGAUGCUUUUGUGUCAGUGUAGAUUGUUCCUCCUCACAGUUUGGAGUCGUAUGUUUUUCAGUCGGUUAUAAAAAAAGACGAACAGCGACGUUGAACUCGCUCUAAAAUGAUCCCACAUUAUUCCUCACAGCGUGGAUCUCCUCGUGUCCUCGGGCUCGAGGAAAAACACAGAGGAGGUAAAAAAUGGACAAGACGCGGGAGAGCGGAGAAGAGAGCAGAACCCCCCCGCCGCCGCCCCCCAUUUACUUGGACAGCAAUGCAAUAGAAGAGUCUAAAAAUAGAUGAAGAAGAUCUCAGCGUGGACCAGCAGCAUGGAGAAGAAAUGGAGAUGGGUAAUAAACAUAUGGUGAUGAGUCUGGAGCCUGGCCUACUUUAAACACAAACACGUCUUUACUCGAACCACAGCCUUGAAGAUUGAUCCUGUCUGCCAACAAAUAACGAAGCUGGGGACGUGUGAGAGGAAUUAGGUCCAAUUAAGACGAAGACGAGGGAGGAUGGGAGACGAGGAGGAGGAGGGGGGAUAAAGGACCUGCAGGGAGGAGAGAGAGGAGCCGCCAACCUCAGCAACCAAACCUGCUCCUUCACCUCCCUCUGAGAGACGACCUUUGACCUCACCGGGUCGCUGCAGACCAAUGAUAACACCUUAAACACACACACACACACACACACAGCAGCCUGUCAGACACGCAGAAAAGCUGCAGACACACACUUUAGUCAGCUUUUGUCUUAGAACACACACACACAUUGCUCUGUGUUACAUCAGAUUAGAUUAUAACAACACUCACGGCUCUCUCACACACACUCACACAGACACACACACACACACACACACACUCUUUCUGCUCUGAUUUUUAUUUCCUCUUCCUCGGUGUCGCCUCGUGUUUGCUGAGCUGCAGAUCCACCGACGUUGUUCAGGAUCUUCUCUCAGCAUCUUUUACUUCUGAACUCAGAUUAUCCUUCAGUUUUCCAACAGACUUAAGAGGCUGAAAAGUGUCAAAAAUAAAGUCUAAACAGUGUGGAAUCAAAACAACAAGCUGACAUGAUGUUUUUAAAAUGAGACUUCAGCUCCUUCACACAGAUCUGAAAUAAUAAUCUACGGUGUGACCUGAAAAAUCUCCCUCCU
Molecule: non-coding RNA, 1366 nt
Organism: Xyrichtys novacula (pearly razorfish)
Lineage: Eukaryota; Metazoa; Chordata; Actinopteri; Labriformes; Labridae
Source: the annotation of a GenBank genome assembly